Molecule: ribosomal RNA, 230 nt
Filed under: uncultured bacterium
Lineage: Bacteria
Description: partial 16S ribosomal RNA
Rfam family: Bacterial small subunit ribosomal RNA
Source: RNAcentral
GAUCAUGGCUCAGGACGAACGCUGGCGGCGUGCUUAACACAUGCAAGUCGAACGAGAAUCUGCUGAAAGAGUCUUCGGACAAUGGAUGUAGAGGAAAGUGGCGGACGGGUGAGUAACGCGUAAGGAACCUGCCUUGAAGAGGGGGACAACAGUUGGAAACGACUGCUAAUACCGCAUGAUGCAUAAGGGUCGCAUGAUUCUUAUGCCAAAGAUUUAUCGCUUCAAGAUGG